RNAcentral lists this ribosomal RNA (503 nucleotides) under uncultured bacterium. RNAcentral describes it as "partial 16S ribosomal RNA". It matches the Rfam family "Bacterial small subunit ribosomal RNA", at positions 30 to 523 of the family's 1533-position model. The record is from RNAcentral.
AUUGAACGCUGGCGGCAGGCUUAACACAUGUAAGUCGAGCGGGGUGAUGGUGCUUGCACUAUCACUUAGCGGCGGACGGGUGAGUAAUGCUUAGGAAUCUGCCUAUUAGUGGGGGACAACAUCUCGAAAGGGAUGCUAAUACCGCAUACGUCCUACGGGAGAAAGCAGGGGAUCACUUGUGACCUUGCGCUAAUAGAUGAGCCUAAGUCGGAUUAGCUAGUUGGUGGGGUAAAGGCCUACCAAGGCGUCGAUCUGUAGCGGGUCUGAGAGGAUGAUCCGCCACACUGGGACUGAGACACGGCCCAGACUCCUACGGGAGGCAGCAGUGGGGAAUAUUGGACAAUGGGGGGAACCCUGAUCCAGCCAUGCCGCGUGUGUGAAGAAGGCCUUAUGGUUGUAAAGCACUUUAAGCGAGGAGGAGGCUCUUUUGGUUAAUACCCAAGAUGAGUGGACGUUACUCGCAGAAUAAGCACCGGCUAACUCUGUGCCAGCAGCCGCCGUAA